RNAcentral lists this ribosomal RNA (305 nucleotides) under uncultured bacterium. Its description in RNAcentral is "bacterial SSU rRNA". It matches the Rfam family "Bacterial small subunit ribosomal RNA", at positions 337 to 638 of the family's 1533-position model. The record is from RNAcentral.
GCCUACGGGGGGCAGCAGUGAGGAAUAUUGGUCAAUGGGCGGAAGCCUGAACCAGCCAAGUCGCGUGAGGGAAUAAGGCCCUACGGGUCGUAAACCUCUUUUGCCGGGGAGCAAGGGCCGGGACGCGUCCCGGCCCGGAGAGUACCCGGAGAAAAAGCAUCGGCUAACUCCGUGCCAGCAGCCGCGGUAAUACGGAGGAUGCGAGCGUUAUCCGGAUUUACUGGGUGUAAAGGGUGCGUAGGUGGCAGGGCAAGUCAGAUGUGAAAGCCCGGGGCUCAACCCCGGUACUGCAUUUGAAACUGUCC